This 578-nucleotide ribosomal RNA is filed under the name Bacillus pumilus. RNAcentral's name for it is "bacterial SSU rRNA". It matches the Rfam family "Bacterial small subunit ribosomal RNA", at positions 1 to 565 of the family's 1533-position model. Lineage: Bacteria; Bacillati; Bacillota; Bacilli; Caryophanales; Bacillaceae. The record is from RNAcentral.
UCGGAGAGUUUGAUCCUGGCUCAGGACGAACGCUGGCGGCGUGCCUAAUACAUGCAAGUCGAGCGAACAGAAGGGAGCUUGCUCCCGGAUGUUAGCGGCGGACGGGUGAGUAACACGUGGGUAACCUGCCUGUAAGACUGGGAUAACUCCGGGAAACCGGAGCUAAUACCGGAUAGUUCCUUGAACCGCAUGGUUCAAGGAUGAAAGACGGUUUCGGCUGUCACUUACAGAUGGACCCGCGGCGCAUUAGCUAGUUGGUGGGGUAAUGGCUCACCAAGGCGACGAUGCGUAGCCGACCUGAGAGGGUGAUCGGCCACACUGGGACUGAGACACGGCCCAGACUCCUACGGGAGGCAGCAGUAGGGAAUCUUCCGCAAUGGACGAAAGUCUGACGGAGCAACGCCGCGUGAGUGAUGAAGGUUUUCGGAUCGUAAAGCUCUGUUGUUAGGGAAGAACAAGUGCGAGAGUAACUGCUCGCACCUUGACGGUACCUAACCAGAAAGCCACGGCUAACUACGUGCCAGCAGCCGCGGUAAUACGUAGGUGGCAAGCGUUGUCCGGAAUUAUUGGGCGUAAAG